AUUGAACGCUGGCGGCAUCCCUUACACAUGCAAGUCGAGCGGCAGCGCGGGGGCAACCCUCGGCGGCGAGCGGCGAACGGGUGAGUAAUGCAUCGGAACGUGUCCUCUUGUGGGGGAGUAACCAGUCGAAAGACUGGCUAAUACCGCAUGAGAUCGAGAGAUGAAAGCAGGGGACCGCAAGGCCUUGCGCGAGAGGAGCGGCCGAUGCCGGAUUAGCAGUUGGUGGGGUAAAGCCUACCAAGGCGACGAUCCGUAGCUGGUAUGAGAGUACGACCAGCCACACUGGGACUGAGACACGGCCCAGACUCCUACGGGAGGCAGCAGUGGGGAAUUUUGGACAAUGGGGGCAACCCUGAUCCAGCCAUGCCGCGUGUGUGAAGAAGGCCUGGUUGUAAG
Molecule: ribosomal RNA, 396 nt
Filed under: uncultured bacterium
Lineage: Bacteria
Description: bacterial SSU rRNA
Rfam family: Bacterial small subunit ribosomal RNA
Source: RNAcentral